Podarcis lilfordi (Lilford's wall lizard) is the source of this 13583-nucleotide non-coding RNA. Lineage: Eukaryota; Metazoa; Chordata; Lepidosauria; Squamata; Lacertidae. The record is from the annotation of a GenBank genome assembly.
AUGGGCAAACGCAGCAAAGCAUAAACAGUUGCAAAUGGGAGGAGGAAGGCUAGAGCUCGCUUUGCAUAUUUAGCCUUGCCUUGGAAUGAAUCGAAAGGGAAGUUGUUGGACCAUUGUUCGUAGGGCUGCUUCUUUCACGGACGUUUACAGAAGCUGCAGUUUACAGGGGCUUUUCUUCCUGUUGUUUGCUUAUGGAAAAUAAGUGGGAGUGACAAAAAGAAAAAGAAAAAAAGAGGGAAACAGAGGGAGGCACUGACCACAGUGCAGAACCAGUAACCUUGCCUUGUGUAUGAUCAUUAACCUUGCUGAAAAAGGCAGCUGGGAGCUCAUUUCGAAAGCUUGCCAUUAGAAUGUGAGCUGAGCCACAGAUACUGCAGACACAUUUCCGGGAGGGUGUCUGCAAAUUGGCUGCAAGUGUUACAAAUACUAUCGGAUCCGGUCUGCAAAAAUGAGAUUCCAGCAGCUCCUUUUGACCUGGUUUUUGCUCCUGGCUGGGGUGCUCCUGAUCGACGGACAGAGGCCAGGUAAGGAACCCUGUGAUCUGACUCCGUUUCCCCGUCUCAGCUGUCUUUUUGUACAUCUCUUAUCUCCAGCGUGUGUAUGGGGAUUUCUGGGGCAGCUACGUUUGAAGCUAGGCUUUCUUUUCCUUUUUUUAAAAAAAAAAGCUCUUCGCCUCCCUUAGUAUUAUUUUUGCAGCCGUAACUCUCUUUUAAAAAGAGAGAAUGGCUUCCUUAAGAGAUGCUGCGCCUACGACAUGCCACUUUGAGAUUUCAGUGCAAAGCCAUUUCUUUUCGUGCGCACGAGAAGAUGGCAAAUAAAGAAUUCAUGAUCACAUCAGCUCCUUCAGGGCUUGUGCAAGAUGUUACAUUUAAAUGCUACAUUUAACUAGCCUGGUAGGAAGAUUUUACCACAAUAAAGUCGUGAAAGAAGUGCAAACUGUAAAUGUAGAUGGGUUAAUUCAUCUCUAUGUGCUGUAACCCUAUGAGUAAACUGCAACAUCUGAAGAGGGCAGCUUGUGUUAUGCAGCUUAUGUCCCUGUGCAAAUAUUUGUGACUCCUCUCCUACGUGUGUGCAAUUAUUUCACUGUUUUCCAUUCCCUAUAAUACCUGGCUAAUAUCUGCCUGGACUGCUGCUUUAUUGAUUCCUAUGAUGAUUUAUUAGUUAUUUGACUACCUUUAUCAGGCAAGGGGAGGUCAGACUUUGCUUCUUCUUUUUUAUAACCUCCUGCCUCGUUUGACACCCUCCCAGAUUCCUACAGCUUUCAACAAUUUUUAACAGAGCAUUGACAGAGAGAUGGGUGAAAUCACAUCAUCUCAUAUACUGAUUCUCCAGAGGAAUAAGAUAUUUGCAUAAUUGCCCUCCCCGCCACUCCCCACUUUUCAGAGGGCAGAUUCACUUUUCUAAGUAAAGCUGACAGCUCCCAGACCAUACACUCUGCGGUAGUCUCCUUUGCUUGACUGAUACAACUCUCUGGAGCAAUUAGCUUGGAGUAGACGGAAGCCUUAGGCAAAAAGAGCAUUGCUUGAGUACUAGCUGGCGGGAAUGUACAUUCCCAGUCCUCUCUGGUGGAAAAAGCCAAAAUGAAACAAGAAUGGAACUGAGGGCAUACAACAAGUAGCCAGAGUUGUGAUCCACCUUUUGGUGCACAGAUGAAGAGGCAGACUUCAUCUAUGGUGAAUUCAGAAAAUAUUCCCUAAGGGAGUGAGUUGCCCUGAAGUCACCUGAGUUUUCCAUCCUGCAAAGCAGUUCUCUUAACUGAGCAGCAGGCAGAAAGGGAUCUACUUAGUAUGCUUUCCCAGAUCAUUUUGCAUAUACCUGGGUUUGCAUAAACAGGUGGAGGCCUACAAUAAGAAUAAGGAAGAUGCGCUCACAUUCAGAGCAGUUGUCUAUCCACCUUACCAUUCCCAGAGGCUUUGAGAAGACUAUUGCAUUUAUUAGUUUGACUUUAAGGAACACAGAAGAACAUUUUAGCUUCCCGACUCUCUUGAAAGAUAGCGGCUUGCUGAGGCCACCCACUGAGCAUCAGAACUGAGCUUUGAGCAUUUCCCACACCCAAAACUAGGCUUUUAGUCAUUACACUGGUCUGGGAACAUUAUUCCCCCACCUUUCCAGCACUGAAAGGCUCAAAGGCACAUCAGUAGUGUUGCUUAGUACUUAUACAGCACUUUCCUCUGAAGUGUUCAAACAUGCUUUGCAUGCCAACCCUGUAAGGUAGGCCACUAUUACAGCCACAGGGGGAGAGAGUUGAUUCAGCCACCACCUCUUCUUGCCUUUCCUGUCCGAUGGCCAAUGACUUAACUUUUUGUCUGUCUCCGCGAUGAAUGUGUGUCUAAGGUGAGACUAGAACAAGCUCACAGCUCAGGAUAUAACCACAAUGUACUACAUCAGCUCUUUGGCUGAUUAGGAUGGUGCUACUCUGAAUAUUUCCCCCACCACUGGUGUUUUAUUGCAGUCGUUUUCUGCAACGUGUUCUCAACUCAAUAAUGAGUGUUUAUUCUGCUUGAGUUUGUUCUGCAGUGCUUCCACAGGGCUGCCACAUUACUGCUGUCAACAAAAGUAGAAUAAAAAUAAACCAGGAUGCUAUAACAAGUUGUAGGAGUUCAGUAGGAAGUUACGGGAUAGGUGCUGAUUAGAAAUGAAGUGGUAUGAAGGUGGAAUCACAUAUAACUGCCUCAGGAGCAUUGUGAGCACACAUGGCCAUGAAUGUGCAAUAAAUGAGAUGUCUGUAGGGACCCUAAACAUGCUCUCUUUUAUAAACUGCUUUGAGGGUUUCUUUUUUUUUACAAUCAAUCCAUUUGUAAAUUUUAUGAAAUAAAAAAAAAAUUUACAUCGGCAAUGAAAGUGGCAUGCCUUUUUCAGAGAACUCCAUAAGUACUAUUAGCCCCUGUUUUGUUCUGGGUGCAAAAGUGUUUUGUUUCUUAUUUGGAAAAGGAUAUUUAUCAGGUCUCCUCUGCCAUUAUUUAUUCUAUUUACCAAAUCCCCAUUUUCUAUAUAAAAUGGCUCUCCAGGUGGCUUACAAAUUUGAAAGAAAAAAAAACCAAUUAAACCCUGAAUGGAUAUUAAGAGUUCUUACACACAACACUUUUGUUCCAUGCAUUAAAAUCAAAGAACACAACUCAGCCAAGUAUAAACGCUUCUUAAAAUUCCAUUAAUUUCCAGGAAACAUGCAGGACAAUCCAUGCUGACUCAGAAGCCAGCCCCACUGUGAUCAUUAGGCCUUACUCCCUAGAACGUUUUGCUUAGGAUGGCAAUUUAACUUAAGCCCUGCUAAACUACUCACAAUUUCCUAUUUUGUGCCCAGGUGUAGAUUUCAUGAUAUUCAGUACAUGAACAAAUGUGCAAAAUCCACAUAGGUUUAGAUGUGAUGCUUUAGUUGAGAUUCAUGCAUUUCAGGGGGUGGACUGGAUGACUCUUGGGUCCCUUCCAACCCUACAAUUGUAUGAUUCUAUGAACUCAGAUGUGACUUACUUCUGAAUAGACAUGUAUAGGACAUGUGCCAUAAGAGUACAGUGGUACCCUGGGUUAAGAACUUAAUUCGUUCUGGAGGUCCUUUCUUAACCUGAAACUGUUCUUAACCUGAAGCAUCACUUUAGCUAACGGGGCCUCCUGUGGCCGCGUGAUUUCUGUUCUCAUCCUGAAGCAAAGUUCUUAACCCAAGGUACUAUUUCUGGGUUAGCGGAGUCUGUAACCUGAAGCAUAUGUAACUCGAGGUACCACUGUACUUAGGUUUGGCUGAACCACAGACAGCUGAAGGUCCUGCAGUUUACAAUGGUCUGAGACUUCUGAAAAAUUGAGCAAAUUCUGGGGUGGGAUGGGAUGGGAUGGGAAGCCGAGUGCUUCUGGAAGAAGACAGACUUGCUACAUUGGAAUAUUAUAUUUUGGGAUCCCACAAGUGCAGGGAAUAACAUCUUGCAGAAAGCAGACACGCUUUAUGCCACUUCAGAACAGCAACCGUUAUUGUCUACCUGGCGUUCAUUUUGACAUCUUGCUCUUUUCAUGUUCUCUCUCUCCUGUCUUCCAGCGAAUGUGGCCUCCAGGCGAAAACUCCACAGACAUCACUGCUCCCACAGGAGAUGCAUGCCCCUUCAUUCCAGAGUGCCCUUUCCCUGAGGUAUCCCAAAAAUUCUACGGUGCUUGGGCUAAUUUUAGGCAAAGGGUCAUUCAUAAGGGUUUGGUAAUAAAACCAGGCGCCAGUAGGAUGUGACUGUUGAAGGCUGCCCCUCCAGCAUUGUUCUGGGGACAGUGUAGGGGAAUGCCAAAUGUGUUCACCAGAAAAUAUGCCCGUUUGCAAACUUAUGCAUUCAUUUCCAAAUGGUUUCGGGGGCAUUUUGCUAACCUCAGACCGCAAACAAUUUCCUUUGGCCUCCGUUCUUUGUGAUUUUAUUUGCUCUGAAAAUAGAGCAACAGGGAGGGAGUGGUGGGGGUGGGAAUGAACUCAAGGAGGGGGGGGGGGAGGAACAGCACAAUAAAAGUUCUUGUUUUAUGUGAACUCCGGGGCACGGUUCCAAAUGAGUGAGUAGUACUGGGCUCUCUGUCAAUUAUUUCACUCUCUGAAGCUGCACAGAGAAUGGGACCCAUUUGAUGCCCUGCUGUCUUUUUGCAGUUUUCCACCCCCUUCCUCCCAAUCUUGCACAUGAAAGUGAUAAUAAUUCAUUAUUAUAAAACCUGAAAGAUAGAAUCCCUAGGCCAGAACCAUCCAACAAGUCUAUCUCACUUAAGAAUAAGGUGGACACAAUAUAAACAUUGGAUCUACCUGGAGUAUGUGGAAUCCAGGGGGUAGCAUUGGUCAUAGUGUAGACACUGGGUAGGCAACCUAAGGCCCGGGGGCUGGAUCCAGCCCAGUCACCUUCUAAAUCUGGCCCACGGACGGUCUGGGAAUCAGCAUGUUUUUACAUGAGUAGAAAGUGUGCUUUUAUUUAAAAUGCAUUUCUGGGUACUUUGUGGGGCAUAGGAAUUUGUUAAUCUCCUCCCUCCAAAAAAAAAUUAUAGUCCGGCCCCCCACAAGGUCUGAAAAAGUUUGCUGACCCCUGGUGUAGACCUACUGAAAUCAGUGGAUUUAAAGUAAGUUAUAAUUAACUUAAACCUUUUGAUUGCAGUGGGGCUAAUCUGAGUAUGACCUAGUCGAAUACCACCCAGAGGUGUCUGGUGUUAUUCAGUGUUAUUAGGAGAAGAUUCCUUCCACCCUCUCUGAGUCAACCUAUGGCAGGAUUCAUGUGAAAUUGUGUCAAGGAUCUGAUCUUCAUGUGGGAAGACUCUCACUAGAUUUUGUAAUGCCCUUCUUCUAUUAUUUUCACAGCAGCAUGAUACACAGCCAUGUGGCAGGGAAUGCUUUCCUGGCAUUUAUUUUAUUUGUUGACUUUGUAAAGCUUCUAUACUGCUUGAUUGUAGAAAAGCCUCAAAGCGGUCUACAUAAAACAUUAAAAUUAUCAAUAAGAAAUUAUAAGAAAUUGACACGGAGAUGCUUUUCCUCAGCACAUUAACUUGGUGGAUUUGUUCAUGCCAGAUUGUUCUUAAAGAAACAGGAUAUAUUUUUUAAAAAACCCAAAGGCAGCCAUUACCAUUUAGCUCUGUAACAGCCAACUUUGCUGAAUGGACACUCUAUAAACCAGGCAUGGGGAAUCUGUGGGCCUCCAGUUGUUGUUGAAAACCAGCUCCUAUCAGCCCCAGCCAGUAUGGCCAAUGGUCAAGGAUAAUGGCAAUUAUAACUCAGCAACAUCUUCAGGGCCACAGGUUCCACACUUCUGAAUGUACACACUGAACAUUUAAAGCACAUGACUUCCCCUAAAGAAUUUCAGGAGCUGGUUUCUUAAGGGUGCUCGGAAUUCUAGCUCCGUGAGGGGGAAACUGCAGUUCCCAGGAUUCCUGGGGAGGGGAAUAAUGUGCUUUAAAUUACGGUGUGCAUGCAGCUUUCAAUUCCACGUGGAUUUCACCACUGGUAGAGCUGUAACCACAGGCCUUUGUAGGUUUUUUUUUAAGGGUUUUAUCCAGGGUGAUGGCAAAUUUCAGUCCAUUAAUUGAAUGAGGAGGACUAGUGUUGGGAACAGUCCACCAUUUGGAACUGCUCCCUAUUUAAUUAAAAAGGUAUCACCUAGAUUGAUCUUGUUAAGCGGGAAGAACUCAAAGGUCCUUUGAUGUGAGGUCCCAAGGAGCAGCUGUGUUAUUCUAGCACAGCAGAAAGACAAAGCACGAGGGGGCAUCGACUAACAAGCCUGUCAUAGCAGGGGCUCAUGUGCCAUCCUAUUCAAAAGAGUCGGGAGCAGGCUGUUGCAUUGUGAACCUGAGAGCUCUUUGAUUUUAAGAUUGCAUUCCGCGGUAUAAAGCUGAAGUAGCACUUUUGAACCCAAGCGGGGCUUCAGCAGGUUAGAGAAUAGGAGGUGCAAAGAAUCAAUGCUCUCUAGUCUAGAGGGCACCAUAUAAAUGCAGAUGCUUCCGCCGCUCCAGAAGCACACAGGUAGGACAUGUAAAUAUGUCACAGCAAGGAUCAAAAGGAUGCCCAAGCUGCCUUUUAGAGAAGCGCACUAUUUGCAGAUGAAUAAAACAUGCACUUGAUAGCUUUGCAUCUGGCAGCGCCUCUUGUUAUAUACAUCAGGAUAAUGGCAUAGCCUUAGGUAGUUUGGCUGUAAUAAAUAAAAAAUGACACAGGCUAUAAGCCCCAAAAUCAAUUCUCUCAAAAUGUCAGCUUCUUGGAACUAGCAAGACUAAUCAGGAGUGAGUGUCGUUAAGGGACAGCAACUGGCCCUUCAAGGACACUUUACAUUUUGCUAAGCAGUUCAGCCGAAGUCAGAAUUGCAUUUCUGACAGUGCCGUAAGUUUUGUGAAACCUAUCUGCAUGAAAGCUGGGAAGAAAAUGAAAUCCAUCCAAAACAUUUUCAGCGCUAUUCUUCUUUGUCUGUUAUAUAUAUAUAUAUAUAUCGCAUCAUCAGUGCUGCCCUGGACUUCUUGGGAGGAGCAAUAGGAUAUAAAAAUAAAAAAUACAUAAUGCACAUGCCAUUUUACAGCAUAGAAGAGUACAAGUCGCUGUCUCAGGGGCUAACAAGAAGUCUGUGGUGCAAAAGCCCUGAUGAAUUGGACCAAAAGCCUAUCUUGUCUGGUGUGCUGUUCCCACAGUGACCCACCAGAUGCUGAUGGGAAGCUCAGAAGCAGAUCAUGAGCACAAUAGCACAGUCCCAGCUCAUGUUCCCCAGCAACUGGUAUUCAGAUGCUAGAGGUAAUAUAUAGCCACCACGACUAGUAGCUAUUGAUAGCCUCAUCCUCCAUGAAUUUGUCUAACUUCCUUUCAAAGCCAUCCAGGUUAGCGACCAUCACUGCAUCUCUUGGUUGCGAAUCCCAAGGUUUAACUGUGAGCAGAGAAGCACUUGCUUUUGUUUGCCUUGAAUCUACCAUUCGCCAUCAGAGAGCCAGGAGAGGAAGGGUGAGAGGAGGAGAGGCAGGAGUAAACAGGGAAAGAAUGUGGGUUAUUUCAGUUAUACACACUUAGGCUUAGUCACAAAGGAAGCCGGUGAAGGAAUUUGAUAAGUGAUUCUAAAGCAAUGGGCAUUCAUUCGGCCCCAAACAGCCUGCACUGAGAUACAACCAAGAAACCCACCAGAAAACAGUUGAUGUUUGCAAGAAGCCUCAGUCAACAAAACAAAAAACAAAAAAAAAAGGUUUCUUCCUUGAAAGUAACACCUUGGCUUAUAUGUGAUGCUGGAAGUACCAAAUGUAUUUAAAAGCUUUGUCUCCAUCAUGUUAAGUUUUUCCAAGAUCUCAGCCAGCUACAUCACUGGGUUUUUUUUUUAAAGAAAUGUGCCUUUUUAGAAUGAUAAAAAGGGGGCAAGAUCCACCUGUGUGUCAAUUACAGCAGGUGGCAGAUUAAGCGAGAGCCAAAGUGACCACAUCCACUCACUCAGCACUUUGGAGUUUAGGGGCACUGUGGAAAUCAGAAUUAGGAGGAGGCAGACUCCUCGAGUCACUAGCUUCAGAAGUGUUUCCGAGUAUGGAAUCAAUCGUCUCCUUCCCCCACUUCCAGUGUUCCAUGACUGUGUGCAGAGACAAUCUCUAAUGCGCCUUGAAGCAUAAUGCAUGCAAGUUAAUAGUACAGAGUCUGGGUGAUAAACAUGCACUUAGGUGGAUUUCCCAUCCCUCCUUACAGAAUAUCUGUUUGCAAGACUAAAAGCUAUUUUGUAGCUAGUUCCGUUUGGGGAAACUGCUCUGCCCUAACAACAGAGCAGAAACAGAUGCUCUUUAACCAUGACCUGGUCUAGAGAUAUUCUGAACAACUGAAAUGUGCAUUUUGGAGUGCCAGGGAAGGGGUGGGGACAGAGUUCAAGAUUUCAAACUGGUCUGCAAAAGUCGCAUGGUGCAUCCCCUACAACUACCGUAUUUUUCACUCCAUUGGACGCACCGGACCAUAGGACGCACCGGAUCAUAGGAGGGGGAGAACAGGGGAAAAAAAAAUUUUCUUGUUCUCCCCCUCUAAAACAAGGUGCGUUCAAGGUACAUUCACCAGAGCUUGUGGGGCUGGCAGUGGGGGGAAGCGCUGCUUUCCCCCACCGCCAGCCUCAAAGAUCCCUGAAGCCUUUGGAGCGCAGCGCCCCGCUGCCCUGCAGAGGUUUGCGCGCAGCCGUCCCCAAGCUAGAGCAGCGAGACGGAGCCCUCCGUCUCGCUGUUCUGGCUUAGGAACAGCCUUGCUAGCUUCUGCAGGACAGCGGGGUGAAGGCACCCCGCUGCCCUGCAGAGGUUUGCGCGCAGCCGUCCCCAAGCUAGAGCAGCGAGACGGAGCGCUCCGCAGUGCUCCGUCUUCCUGUUCUGGCUUUGGGCUUAGCGGCGCAGCCUGCAUUCGCUCUAUAGGACGCACACACAUUUCCCCUUAAUUUUUGGAGGGGGAAAUGUGCGUCCUAUAGAACGAAAAAUACGGUAUAUGGGUCAUGCUCUUUGUUGUACAUUUGUCUGCAUGGAAUCCACACAUUUUCAAGCUGAACACUCCCAGGAUUGUUAAAGAUUCUUACAAAAUUAAGCACUGGUUGAGUCUAAGCUUUGCCUGUGGUUCUGAACUGGUCAAGUACUGAUUAAUCCACUAGAGCAGGGAUGCUAUUGACCCUCCAGAUCAGGGUUGGCUAUCAGGGGACUCCAACUCCCAUUACCCCAGUCAGCCAUUGCCCAAUGAUAAGGAGGCUCUGAAGGGCUCAGUGUUAGCUCUUCCUGCUCCAGAUAUUGUUGGACUACCACUCCCAUCACCCCUAAGCAGUGCCCAUGCUGGCUGGGGAUGAUGGGAUAUGGAGUCCAAUGUCAUCUAGUUCUCCAUGUCAGCCGUAAGAGUAACUCACGGUUGAGCUUAUCUUUGCUGUUUCCCAGGCAGUAGCACCUUCAGAUGAAAUGCAGCUAGGCCUACCAGAAAAGCCUUCCCCUUUAUAUUUCCUACUGGCUGAGGGUUGCUCGCAUGUAUUCAUCACACAUUAUAUCAGUUCCAAUGACAGCCCAUGAGGCUCAGAGGCCAUACUUUCAGCUAACUGAAUGGCAAUAAGUAAAAUGGCCAUUCUUACAAAAUUGCAAGUCUUGGCAAAAAGAGUUGUGUGUCAAUGAAAGAUUUACUGACAUUUUGAAUAUUCCUUUUUAAAAAAACAAAAACUAGCCCAAUCUUAAGAAAUGCAUCAUGGGCACAAAUGUUUUAACUGUUAAUGGGGAGGAAAAUAAUCAGCUCUCAAAUGCAUUCAGUCAUUGCACUGGCCUGAUUUUGAGAUUAAGAUUAUAAAAAGAGAAUGUUCCUCCUGCUAGAAUUUUUACUGCAGAUUAUGUAUAUAUCAAACUUUUGAAUUAUUCUACCGCGACUGGUGAAGAAGAUUUAGACACUUUGGUUGCAGUUUCUGAUCAUUUGUAUUAGUCUAUAAAUAGUGUUUAGUGCCAUUGUUAUUGGCCAUCGUGUUGUGUUACUUUGUUCAGACUUUUUCCUGCAGCAGCAGAUUCAUAAUGUGUUUCGAAAUCCUGGCCUGCUCUCAGAGACUGAGGAUGAAUUCCCACAGACAUACAGAGGCAUAAAAGAUCAUAGCCGUGCCAUGGCACUCAGAUGGAAGGAAGCUCCGUUGAAUUUAACAGAGAACAGAAAUGCUAUUAAUAAUACUUACACUGUGUCAGCAGCAAGCAUGACAUCUCACAGAGUUAUAUAGACAAGUCAAAUCCCUGCUAGCAAGGAGUUUACCAAGUAGGAAGGCUGCUUAAGGAUUGCCCCAAAAUAGGAAAGUGUCACAAAAGGAGAGAAAGUGAGGACGAAAGAAUCAACAGGUUUUCAUAAAAUGUGUGCAUACUAAUUUAUUUGCAUACAAAUUUAGAAGCAAUUGCUGUCAUUUAAAUUGUAAUACAAUGCAGUUCACUAUAGUGGCCUAUGUGCCUGCUCUGUUUUCUGGCGCUAUUGAUGGAUCAUUUCCAGGCCCCUCCUGCUCUCCCUUCUUGAAGUCCUAACCUUUAAGCUAGACUUAGACCAGGCAGCCCAUCACAUAGAGGGCCGUCCUCUUUAAAGCUGGAUGUGUGCCCCAGUUCCAGGGGCAGGAGUAUCAUGGAAACUCCAGACUCCUUAGAGAUUGUACCUUUUCAUAUUUUUAUACAAGGGCUCUCAUUACAUAAUGGACCCAAAAUGGCUAUGAUCUAGAAUGGUGUUAUGGUACAAGGACACUGGAAUGAACUACUUAAAUUUCCCGAAUUGGAAGAUUCACCCAUGUUUUCUGUCUCCCGUAAACCCUUAAGAUUGCAAAUUGGGAUCCACUCUCACAUAUGUUAAGGAGGAAUCAUCACACUAGGCUUGCCAUUUGGACCUGCCUUGAGAAAGAGCAAAGAGGCAGAAAAUGAUUUAUUUGGGUAGCCAGAUGAAAUGGGAGGACAGGCCGCCUGCACCUUUAACGGGGAAUUUCAGGAAAUUCUCUGAAAUUAUUCUACACAAUUAUUAAAGGUGUAGGACAUGCACACUGAAAAUUUCAAACUGGUUUCUAUUUGUUUGGAGUUGGUUUUUAAAGUGGGUGCCGGGCCUUUUAGCAUAGCCUCUUAUUUGUAACGUGGACUAUAUGGGGGACUAUUUAGCUGAUCAUAUUAGAAAAAGUGGUAUUUCCUAGGGAUACAACAUUGUCAGUUACAGACACGAAUUUCCACCUGUUUCACAAGCAAAGUCUUUUGGAAAUGCAGCAAUUGGUAUGUUUGCUCAAGUAUUACCCUUCCAAGGGUCUCAAGUGAGCACAGUCAGACUUUUAGGCUCCUCUAAGCAUCUAUGGGUAGCAACCACUGUUUGAAUAAUGUACCUAUUUAACUGGUUUUUAAACCGGUCAGGGGAUGGGGCAAAUGCAUCCUGUUUACCUGAACCAAAUCAACUUGUGCAAGCAAACCUACAGCUAUUGCACUUAAACCUCAAAAUUUCCACUGAAAACAACUCUCAUAAUGGCUACAAUUCUCUGUAGUUGCAUAGAUCUCUUCAAAGCAGCAAAUGAUACACAAUGCAGGGCUAUACGGAAGAGAGCAGCUUAAGAACAGAAAAUGUCCUUUCCUUGGAUAAUAAUAUUUUAAUGUUCAUACCUUAUAACUCUCUGCAAUCACAGAACAGAUGUAAAGUUUAUUAUGACUGGGGUACAAAUUCCUUGGCACCAGAAAGUCAGCUGCUGCUGCUGCUGGCUUUGAGAGAAGUUCAACUGUUCUCAAAAAUCUGUUCUUCCCCCUACCUCUUUUAAAAGUUGAGGACUAUAUGUGUACAAGUGGGGUUCGAACAGGAGUUGUCAAGGUGUCAACCAACCAGGAGUACCCAACUCCAUUCAACCCCUACCCAUCUCCUGUCAAUUUCUUCACAACUGACUCUAAACCAGGGGUCAGCAAGGUUUAUCUUGUCUGGGCCAGAUCAGUCCCGUGGAUAUCCCUCUGGGCCGGAUCACCUGCGCGCACGAUUUUUUGCACCUGCACCUGUGCAGGCGCAAUUUUUGGCACCGCAGAAGUGAGUCCCCGCACUGCGCCAGUUUAGCGCAGCACAUGAGUGGACAGUUCAGUUCAGGGGCAGAUCGUGGGCCAGUCAAAUGACCUCCGCGGGCCACUUCCAGCCCAUGGGCCUUAGGUUGCUGACCCCUGCUCUAAACAUUCAAAUGCCUUCUAAGCAUCCCUGAUCCUCAUUGAGAUGGGUUUUGGUGGGGUGUUAGUGCCAUAUUUUUCUAAUAAGAAGAAUUGUACUUUGGCAAUGCUUUUUUCCUGAGCCUGCCGAUAGCUACCUCUUUUUUGUGGUCCUGGUUGGCAAUGUAAUCAUCACCCCCUGAUCACCUGAGUUUGCUAUUAGCUUGUUUGGAAGUUCUAGCAAGGGAGUGCAGCUACUGUAUCUAGGAUGAUCGUCCUCUUCCACUGAGUGUGCGGCUUUGUGGGGGGGACACACAGGGAGCAGAAGGAGGCACCCACCUAGCUAGCCAGAUCAGUCGAAUCAAACCUGGAAUGACAUGUAGCAACCAGAUCACCCUUGCAUCACAUUUUUAAAAACUUGUGCCAAUAAAGGCUAGUAGAAACUAUUAGGAGCAGGGUUUAAAAAAUGUUGACCACCUUAAUUCAAUUAUUUUAAAAUAUUGUCUGGUUUACUCUUCCCCCAAAUGUAGCUUCCACCAACUGACUGGCGAAAGGAAUUGAGAUGUGUAAAUGACAAAAUUUGAUAGCGGCACUGUUGUAAUCUAUAUAGGUGUCCCAUAAACCAUCACCUGGAAACAUUCAAAAAUCAUCUUACCAGAGGCCUGCUGAAACAAGCUUCACAGGAGUUUUGGGUUUCUCUAAGCAGGAAUAAAAGCAAUGAAGAACUUAGGGAUCCUCUUCUAGACUUUGGAGAAUCAUCAGUGCAAUAUGAUCACCAUUCUUCUCUACUCAUCAACACCAGUAACCAGAAAGCGAACUUCACAAUAUUAGAAGAGUUGUGUGUCAUUAAAAAAAAAAAAAACCCAAACUAUUGGUAUAUUAAUAGUGUUUAUUCACGUGUCUGUAUAUCUUUUAACACCCAGCUAACAAUAUGCAAGAAAGAAGCCAUUGUUUCAUAAACAUCAUGAUUCGUUGGAAUAGUUAUAAAAAUGCAUAUUGGAUGUUUGAAGCUAGGGUUAUUCUAUCACCUUUCCCAGUCUUUCAAGACUAGUAUAUCUGUUGACAUUACUAGGUGAAUACUUCAAGUGGAAAAUUCCUUAAAUAAUGAUCAGCCUUAACUGGAAAGUCUUACAAGCAUGACUGAAUCUUCCACUCACACCAGUGGAAAAUAUGCCAAAGCUAUGCUGGAUGCUAGAUUAGUAGAACCGGGGUCAAAAAGAUCAACCUAGUCUUCCUUAAAAGUAUUACUGGUUGUAUUUGUACUAAUUUUAACCUGUUUACAACUUACUUUGGGAUUCAAUUAUUUCCUUAAAGCAUGUUUGUAACUGUAUAUGUUGUAAAAUGGUACUUCAAAUAGCAUUCUCAUAUUAAUCUUUGUACAAUUUUGUUAAAAAUUUUGUAUUCUGUACAUGGAAAUUGCCCAUAUCCAAAGACAAGUGAAAUAUUUGCCUAAUUUGUAAAUUUCAUAAGGGAUCAAUGUAAACUUUAAUAAUUGAUGUAGCUAAAUAAAAUAUAGCUUAAAUCAUGCUAUU